RNAcentral lists this long non-coding RNA (3222 nucleotides) under Helianthus annuus (common sunflower). RNAcentral's name for it is "hypothetical non coding rna". The record is from RNAcentral. Lineage: Eukaryota; Viridiplantae; Streptophyta; Magnoliopsida; Asterales; Asteraceae.
AUGUUCGAAGGACGAAAUCUGAGGUUUACGAAGGAUUUUCGCAUGUGUUUUGUGAUGAAUCGACUCAGAUGCGGUUAUUUCAAAUUAGGUUGAAAGUUUUGUGAUAUUUGAAUUUGUAUUUUUGGUGAUGAUAGUUAGGUUAAUUUCAGAUAUGACAUAGUGAAAGGAUAAAUUGUUUUUGUAGUUUUGAUUUUACUUUGUUCUGUUAUAUUUUGAUCUUUUCCUUCAUUUUUGGGACUGAUAAGUGUCAUGGUUUUGUGAUAAUUAUGAUAUUUAGGUCAUUUUUGGGGAUGAUAAGUGUUGUAGUUCAAUGAAAAUUAUGAUAGUUAGGUCAAUUUUAGAUAUGGAAUAGUGAAAAGAUAGAUUGUUAUGUACUUUUGAUUUUAGUUUGUUCUGUGGGAUGUUUUGAUAUACUUUUUCAUUUUUCGGGAUGAUAAGUCUUGUGGUUAUAUGAUACUUAUGAUAGGUAGGUCAAUUUUAGACAUGGAAUAGUGAAAAGGAUAAAUUGAUUUUGCAGUUUUGAUUUUAGUUUGUUUUGUGAUAUUUUGGAUAUUUCAUCAUUAUUGGGACUGAUAAGUGUCAUGGUUAUAUGAUAAUCAUGAUAUUUAGGUUAGUUUUGGAUAUGUAAUAGUGAGAAGAUAAGAUGUUCUUACUGGUGAGUGUCAUGGUUAUAUGAUAAUUAUGAUAAUUACUUUUGUAUGAUAGAUUAUAUUUAUGUGAGGUGUAACAUUUGACCUUAAUUAAACACUCACAAAGCUGAUUGUUAUAGUUUUUAUAUGUAUGUGUUCAUGUAUUGGCAGGAUAGAAGGAUGUGCUAGCAUAAUUGGGUUAAAUUUAUUUAUGAUGGUAGGGCUAGAGGAAUUAAAAAAACUCAUACCGCUAUCAAGAGGCUUCUGGAGAAAGCUGGACUUGAAGGCUAUCAGGUAAGACGAGCUGCAAUGCAUUCUGUUGAAAGCUUUCCUACAUCCGAUGUUUUAGUUAGGAUUUACUUUUUUAAUUUUUUUAUGUUUACUUGUUUGUUUAUAUGUCACAUGCAGAUUAGUAAGACAAAGGUGUUUCUAAGGGCCGGACAGAUGGCAAAGUUUGAUGGUUGUCGGACUAAGGUCCUAAGUUAUACGACCUAGAUGGCUUGGAUGUUUCCCAAGUGUUCUAUGAUGCAUAAGCUGAGCCUGUGAGGCUAUGAUGCAUAAGCUGAGCCUGUGAGGCUAUGAUGCAUAAGCUGAGCCUGUGAGGCUAUGAUGCAUAAGCUGAGCCUGUGAGGCUAUGAUGCAUAAGCUGAGCCUGUCGACUCUAUGAUGCAUAAGCUGAGCUUGUGUUCUUAAUAUGUCUGAACUGAAACUGUUAAGGCUAUGAUGCAUAAGCUGAGCCUGUGAGGUUACAUAUGUGUUUCUUGUGCUUAAAACACUUGUACAUCAUGCUUUAAAGGUUGUUUAAGUUUAGUGGAAAAUUACUCUUGUACAUCAUGCUUUAAAGCGGGGUUACAUAACACAAUAGACUGUGAUGAUGAUUGUAUUUUGAGGGUACAUAGAAGAUCCGAGUAGCAUCUUGGCGGGGCAAUAUCCAGGUUGCAUAGUUCUCACUUUGCAACCGUGUGUUGCAGCCAUGGCUUUACCCGUAGUUGUGUUCAUCUCUCAAUUACAUGUCUGAGUCUUCCAGUUGUAAAAGUAUUAUCACAGAUUCACAGAUCUAAAAGUACAUGUCUGAAAGACAACUUGCUUGCUGCAGUCUGUAUAAACAUAAGCUGAGCUUGUGUUCUUAAUAUGUCUGAACUGAAAGUGUUUGAGGCUAUGAUGCAUAAGCUAAGCCUGUUAGGUUACAUAUAUGUUUCUUGUGCUUAAAACACGUGUACAUCAUGCUUUAAAGGUUGUUUAAGUUUAGUGGCAAAUUACUCUUGUUGUGUACUCCGGAUUUUUGUGUUCUUAAUCUGUCUGAACUGAAAGUGUUUAAGGCAGUGAUGCAAAAGCUUAGCUUGUGUUCUUAAUCUGUCUGAACUAAAAGUGUUGAGUCUAUGAUGCAUAAGCUGAGCUUGUGUUCUUAAUCUGUCUGAAGUAAAAGUGUUUUGAGGCUGUGAUGCAAAAACUGAGCCUGUGUAAUCUAUCUGAACUGAAAGUGUUUGAGGCUGUGAUGCAAAAACUGAGCCUGUGCAAGGUUCGCUCGGUCGAGCGAGACAUUUGUUCAGGUAUCCUUAUUUCAUGAUAAAAUGAUUAUGAAUAGCUGUGCAUAAACUAAUCGCAAGUUUGUUUGGUAUAUGCAGGGUAAUAGGGAACAGAGGUUGAACCUGUGGUUUGACGCAACAAAGAACUUCCGUACUUACACUAUUCUAUGACUACUGCAGUGACACCGGUCGGCUUGAAUCGAGCCCAAAUCAGUUUUCUGGAUUUGAAAUGAUAGCCAUUCAAGUUUAUAAUAAAAAGCAAUCAUGCUGUAGUGAACUACUUUUAAAAAAAACAGAUGUAUGUAUGUAUGCAUGUUCUGAUUAUAUAUUAGAAACCACCUACAUAUUUCUGAUGCUUGAAUGGGAACGACUAUUGGACCAACAAAAACAAGAUAAUUUCAUAUUUAUGAUGCUAGCUACCAAUAUGUAUUCAUAAUUGAUUAUCUUGUAUACACUUGUACGAAGUGUCAUGCACAGCAAAAGGUAAAGUUAUUCUUUGUGUUCAUUGCCACUCAAGUUCAUUGUUUGGGUCAACUAACGGGUCAAAAUAGGCUUUCGAACUCUAAAAAUGGAUCUUCGGAAUUAGUUAGUUGUAGCAAGAAAAUGGUUGGUUGGGUUAUGUGGUUAACUUUACUAGAUAUGCCAUCACUUCAUCUGUUAUAAAACACAAUAUUGACCCAUCGGUUGGCAGGUUUCAAAUCUUGACUUGACCUUUAGAGCAUAUGUAUUGGUAAAUAUCUGCCAACGUGCAGUAAGUAAUCAGACAGCGUUACCUUUCAACACUUAACAUUUUAAUGUUGUUUUUGUAGUUAUGUUUAAUACAAGUAUAAAUAGUUGGACAAAGGAGUGUUGUUGUGUUGGUCCAAACCGACAUGUUAUAGGUUGUAUUUUUUUUUAAUAAAGAUGGUCACUUUAUUAUAUUCGGCAAUGUAUAUGAUUUGAAUUACACUUUUUUUUAGAUUAUAUUCGGCAAUGUAUAUGAUUUAUAAUCAUUAACUUAUGAGUUUUUAAGAGAUUACAAUUUAAAUUACAUAAGGUACUAAUAGAUCCUACUUGACCCGGAUUAC